AUUGAACGCUGGCGGCAGGCCUAACACAUGCAAGUCGAGCGGUAGCACAGAGAGCUUGCUCUCGGGUGACGAGCGGCGGACGGGUGAGUAAUGUCUGGGAAACUGCCUGAUGGAGGGGGAUAACUACUGGAAACGGUAGCUAAUACCGCAUAACGUCGCAAGACCAAAGUGGGGGACCUUCGGGCCUCAUGCCAUCAGAUGUGCCCAGAUGGGAUUAGCUAGUAGGUGGGGUAACGGCUCACCUAGGCAACGAUCCCUAGCUGGUCUGAGAGGAUGACCAGCCACACUGGAACUGAGACACGGUCCAGACUCCUACGGGAGGCAGCAGUGGGGAAUAUUGCACAAUGGGCGCAAGCCUGAUGCAGCCAUGCCGCGUGUGUGAAGAAGGCCUUCGGGUUGUAAAGCACUUUCAGCGGGGAGGAAGGCGGUGAGGUUAAUAACCUCAUCGAUUGACGUUACCCGCAGAAGAAGCACCGGCUAACUCCGUGCCAGCAGCCGCGGUAAUACGGAGGGUGCAAGCGUUAAUCGGAAUUACUGGGCGUAAAGCGCACGCAGGCGGUCUGUCAAGUCGGAUGUGAAAUCCCCGGGCUCAACCUGGGAACUGCAUUCGAAACUGGCAGGCUAGAGUCUUGUAGAGGGGGGUAGAAUUCCAGGUGUAGCGGUGAAAUGCGUAGAGAUCUGGAGGAAUACCGGUGGCGAAGGCGGCCCCCUGGACAAAGACUGACGCUCAGGUGCGAAAGCGUGGGGAGCAAACAGGAUUAGGUACCCUGGUAGUCCACGCCGUAAGCGAUGUCGAUUUGGAGGUUGUGCCCUUGAGGCGUGGCUUCCGGAGCUAACGCGUUAAAUCGACCGCCUGGGGAGUACGGCCGCAAGGUUAAAACUCAAAUGAAUUGACGGGGGCCCGCACAAGCGGUGGAGCAUGUGGUUUAAUUCGAUGCAACGCGAAGAACCUUACCUGGUCUUGACAUCCACAGAACUUUCCAGAGAUGGAUUGGUGCCUUCGGGAACUGUGAGGCAGGUGCUGCAUGGCUGUCGUCAGCUCGUGUUGUGAAAUGUUGGGUUAAGUCCCGCAACGAGCGCAACCCUUAUCCUUUGUUGCCAGCGGUUAGGCCGGGAACUCAAAGGAGACUGCCAGUGAUAAACUGGAGGAAGGUGGGGAUGACGUCAAGUCAUCAUGGCCCUUACGACCAGGGCUACACACGUGCUACAAUGGCAUAUACAAAGAGAAGCGACCUCGCGAGAGCAAGCGGACCUCAUAAAGUAUGUCGUAGUCCGGAUUGGGGUCUGCAACUCGACUCCAUGAAGUCGGAAUCGCUAGUAAUCGUAGAUCAGAAUGCUACGGUGAAUACGUUCCCGGGCCU
This 1361-nucleotide ribosomal RNA is filed under the name uncultured bacterium. RNAcentral's name for it is "bacterial SSU rRNA". It matches the Rfam family "Bacterial small subunit ribosomal RNA", at positions 28 to 1381 of the family's 1533-position model. The record is from RNAcentral.